This 497-nucleotide ribosomal RNA is filed under the name uncultured bacterium. Its description in RNAcentral is "partial 16S ribosomal RNA". It matches the Rfam family "Bacterial small subunit ribosomal RNA", at positions 28 to 507 of the family's 1533-position model. The record is from RNAcentral.
GAUGAACGCUGGCGGCGUGCCUAAUACAUGCAAGUCGAGCGAACAGACGAGGAGCUUGCUCCUCUGACGUUAGCGGCGGACGGGUGAGUAACACGUGGAUAACCUACCUAUAAGACUGGGAUAACUUCGGGAAACCGGAGCUAAUACCGGAUAAUAUAUUGAACCGCAUGGUUCAAUAGUGAAAGACGGUUUUGCUGUCACUUAUAGAUGGAUCCGCGCCGCAUUGGCUAGUUGGUAAUGUAACGGCUUACCAAGGCAACGAUGCGUAGCCGAAGGGAGAGAGUGAAAGCCCACAUUAGAGUGGAGCCAGGCACAAAACUACUGAGGGAGGCACCAGAGGGGAACGUGAGGCAAAGGGGGAAAGUAUGACGGAACACCCCCGCGUGAGAGACAGCGGUUCCGGGAUCGAAAAACCUUGUUACGGGGGAAAAACAACUGUGUACGUAAAUAAGCCGGUAGUGACGGUAACUAAUAAGAAAGCAACGGCUAACUACGUG